RNAcentral lists this long non-coding RNA (276 nucleotides) under Olea europaea (common olive). RNAcentral's name for it is "long non-coding RNA (OEUR_LNC010245)". The record is from RNAcentral. Lineage: Eukaryota; Viridiplantae; Streptophyta; Magnoliopsida; Lamiales; Oleaceae.
UAAAAAAGCUACUUCUGUACUGUGACUGGAAUUUAAUUGGUCAUAUGAGCUAUCAUAUUCUCACCAAACAAAACCAAACUAAUAAGCUGGACAAGAUAAGAUCUAAAGCACAGUAUUUGGUUGACUAUGUGCAGUACUUUUUCCACAAUAAAAUGUGUGAAAUAAUCAAGUAAAUUUUCAUAUUUUAAAGAUCUGUGAUCCAGUUUGAGGUAUAUACUUAGGAUCUGUUCGAUAGUAAUUAUGAGAAUUGAUUUUUUUUAUCAUUAGAGAGAAACG